This 273-nucleotide ribosomal RNA is filed under the name uncultured bacterium. Its description in RNAcentral is "partial 16S ribosomal RNA". It matches the Rfam family "Bacterial small subunit ribosomal RNA", at positions 524 to 796 of the family's 1533-position model. The record is from RNAcentral.
GACAGAGGGGGCAAGCGUUGCUCGGAAUUACUGGGCGUAAAGGGCGCGUAGGCGGGAUGGCAAGUCGGUCGUGAAAUCCUUCGGCUCAACCGAAGAACGUCGAUCGAUACUGCUGUUCUAGAGGAUUGCAGAGGAGACUGGAAUUCCCGGUGUAGCGGUGAAAUGUGUAGAGAUCGGGAGGAACACCGGUGGCGAAGGCGGGUCUCUGGGCAAUUCCUGACGCUGAGGCGCGAAAGCGUGGGGAGCAAACGGGAUUAGAAACCCCAGUAGUCC